This 823-nucleotide long non-coding RNA is filed under the name Olea europaea subsp. europaea. Lineage: Eukaryota; Viridiplantae; Streptophyta; Magnoliopsida; Lamiales; Oleaceae. The record is from RNAcentral.
CACACAUCAAAUUUCUCAUGUUGAUAAUUAAAGAUUAGCUUGAAGCAAAAAAGAGUGACAACUACGAAUCUCAGAACAAUCACUAAAUUGAAAAAGAAUCACAACUUGUCGUGAUUCAAACUGCAUAAAGAGCACAGAGUCCAUCAAAAAAUCAGCAAAACCCCACGGAGGAUUUACAAAUCCAAUGAAACCCUUCUCAGAACCACCGAUGUCGACGUUGGACGCUGAUCAAUCAUGUUAAUGAGAAAAACCCUUCUCAGUCCCACCAACACUAGAAGCUAGAUUAAAAAACAUGAAAUUACGGUAACAAACAGAACUCUGAAAAUAUAUGCAUAAAGUGGAAAAAUGUAAUGGUCAAAGCUCACUCAAUCAAAGCCCAACCUAAUUUACAAACCAAAUGUAGAAUGAAAGCAGAGAAAUUAAGAAGAAUAAAGAUGUAAACAGAAAAGAUCCAGAGAUUAUGGGAGCAUAAUUCAUCACAUAAAAAAAUCUGAAUUCCUUCUCAUAAUCUCUCUCUGAUAUACACCUCUUCCUAACUAAUUUGAUACCUAGCAUGUGCAAGCACAAAUAUAAUAAAAAAUCAGCAGAAACCUAAAGAGGAUUUAUGAAAGCAAAUACAAUGAAAAUAUUCUCAGAGCCAUCGACAUUGGAAGCUGAUCAAUUCAAGUUGUUAAGAAAACCCCUUCUCAGUGUCCAGUCCCACCAACACUAGAAGCCGGUCAUCACUUAGACCAAAGAACAAAACCAAAAAAAGGGGUCCUUCUAGAUUCAUCCGAAUAGAGAAAGUAAUAAACAUGGAAUUAUUGUUGAAAGUAGUGUAAAC